Long non-coding RNA from Bombyx mori (domestic silkworm), 926 nucleotides. RefSeq lists it as uncharacterized. The record is from RefSeq and is a predicted model, not a curated record. The transcript is spliced from 2 exons. NCBI's taxonomy places the organism in Eukaryota, Metazoa, Arthropoda, Insecta, Lepidoptera, Bombycidae.
AAUCGCGUGAAUUCGGUGGACAUUUAUCGUUGUGGAAGCUAUUCUUGUACAAUACUGGGAGCCUUGGAAUGUGCCGCACGUCGGAAUCCGUUGCAGGAUACAAUCAGACUGACAGGAGUUUGAAGACGGGGUUUUUAUUGGCGAGUACAUCACAAAGUAAAGAUUAUCUUAAUAGAUUGUGAAUAUUCUGUGUCAGAAGUAAUCGAGGUUAAGCAAGCGUGGAGACGUGAUCGUGAAACGGAAACGGGCGCGUAGCAACACAAUUUUUUUGUAAUGCAGAGAGAGUAAUUGACCCAGAAGCAUUUCCAGCUUCACUAAGGCAGGUGGACGAGCAUGGGCCCAGCCAGAAGAGUCUAUAUUUGCUAACAGCUGCCCGAACACCUACGAACAGACUUAACAGCUCAAAAACAUCUGCUUCGCAGAUGAAUCUGUUAGCGUAUCGAUAUCGCGACCCACUAUGACCCAGCGAAAAUUCAGUGGGAUAUUGACUUAAGUUGCACGACGAACUCUUCAGCGAUUUCGCGAGUACCUGUUUGGAUGCUGUCGCCAAUAGCUCCCAAAGUAAUGAAAGUAGAUCUCGUGAAUCCGUUGUGUUUACGUGUCUACGGCGGCCACGAGAAGCAAGCUAAUGUGCUGCGCCGUCAUUCCAAAAUAGUGCUUACGGAUUUCCUAUGUUUCUGGUUGGAUUCGAGACCCAGAUCAUCGUGAAAAUCAAUAUUCACUCACAUACGACGACGUUCUGGCGGCAAUCCUGCAAAAUUACGAUUCUACCCACUGGAAUUUCUUCGAAUUUCUAGUCUUAAACGUAAUUAAAAUUAUUUUUACUGUUUAAUUUAAUGUUUUUAUUAUCAUUAUAUUUUUCGCGACGUUUGGAAUUCACAGUUUUUGUGGUCAUGGACAACUGAUUAAAAUUAGUUGUAACUACU